This 523-nucleotide small RNA is filed under the name Pan troglodytes (chimpanzee). Its description in RNAcentral is "retained intron". The record is from RNAcentral. Lineage: Eukaryota; Metazoa; Chordata; Mammalia; Primates; Hominidae.
AAGCUCCCCAGGCUGUUUAGCAUAGACCAGAUACCCCAGGUAUUCCAUGAGCAAGGCAUCCUGUUCGGCUACCGCCAUCCACAGAGUUCUGCCACUGCCUGCAUCCUCAGCCUUUUCCAAAUGACCAAUGAGACUCUCAACAUUUGGACUCACUUGCUGCCCUUCUGGUACCUUCUGGCCCCCUCGACUGGCCUGUCUCCUUCAGGAGCCCUGGAGACCAGGGUGUCUUAAAACACAGCUAGUGUUGAGAGGGCUGAGAUUCUGUGCUGGGAUUUGGGGAUCCCCCGUGGGUACACGCGGGUGAAGGGAGUGUGUGACAGAGGGAAGAGACAUUGGGUGUGCCACUGGGAUGACCUUUAAGGCAUGGACUGGGGUAAGAUUUGAGGGGAAAUCCCAAAAGUGCCUCAGUCCUUCCCUGCUCCCUGCUCCGGUGCCUGAUAUGAUAGCAUUUACCUUCAUCUCCGGUCCUGGAGACUUUCCAGGUCUUCCAGGCGCCCUGUUAAAAUGUCACUAGUUUGAGCAA